RNAcentral lists this unclassified non-coding RNA (351 nucleotides) under Russula persicina. RNAcentral describes it as "sequence contains 5.8S rRNA gene". Lineage: Eukaryota; Fungi; Basidiomycota; Agaricomycetes; Russulales; Russulaceae. The record is from RNAcentral.
GAACGCACCUUGCGCCCCUUGGCAUUCCGAGGGGCACACCCGUUUGAGUGUCGUGAAAUUCUCAAAAACCCUUUUCUUUUUUGAAAGGAUUUUUGGACUUGGAGGCUUUUUGCUGGUUUCACAUCGAAGCGAGCUCCUCCUAAAUGGAUUAGUGGGGUCUGCUUUGCCGAUCCUUGACGUGAUAAGAUGCUUCUACGUCUUGGGUUUGGCACUGUCCAUCGGGCACCUGCUUCUAACCGUCUCAUCGACAAUGAUGGCGCUCCGGUCACCACUGUUUCAUCGGUGGGAGGCUUGACCCACCAAAAAAAAACCUUGACCUCAAAUCGGGUGAGACUACCCGCUGAACUUAAG